Molecule: ribosomal RNA, 468 nt
Filed under: Colwellia sp. SJ1811
Lineage: Bacteria; Pseudomonadati; Pseudomonadota; Gammaproteobacteria; Alteromonadales; Colwelliaceae
Description: bacterial SSU rRNA
Rfam family: Bacterial small subunit ribosomal RNA
Source: RNAcentral
UGCAGUCGAGCGGAACGAGAAUAGCUUGCUAUUCGGCGUCGAGCGGCGGACGGGUGAGUAAUGCUUGGGAAUAUGCCUUUGAGUGGGGGACAACAGUUGGAAACGACUGCUAAUACCGCAUAACGUCUACGGACCAAAGGGGGGGACGCUUCGGCACCUCUCGCUCAUUGAUUAGCCCAAGUGAGAUUAGCUAGUUGGUAAGGUAAUGGCUUACCAAGGCGACGAUCUCUAGCUGGUUUGAGAGGAUGAUCAGCCACACUGGGACUGAGACACGGCCCAGACUCCUACGGGAGGCAGCAGUGGGGAAUAUUGCACAAUGGGCGAAAGCCUGAUGCAGCCAUGCCGCGUGUGUGAAGAAGGCCUUCGGGUUGUAAAGCACUUUCAGCGAGGAGGAAAGGUUAGUAGUUAAUAACUGCUAGCUGUGACGUUACUCGCAGAAGAAGCACCGGCUAACUUCGUGCCAGCACC